AAGCCGAGCUCGUCUGGAUUCCCCACCAUGGCCUGGGCCCCUCUGCUCUUCAUGCUGCUCACUUACUGUUCAGGGUCGAGCUCCCAGUACGUCUUGACUCAGCCGUCUGCAGAGUCAGUGUCUCUGGACCAAACAGCUAAACUCUCCUGUGCCAUGAGCAGUGGGUACAGCAUUGGCAGUUACCCUAUAAUCUGGUACCAGCAGAAACCUAGCCAAGCCCCUCGCUUUGUGCUUCAUGAAACCAGCAACAGAGGUGAUGGGAUCCCAGAUCGGUUCACUGGCUCUAAAGACUCCUCCAGGAACACGGCUUUUUUAACCAUCACUGGGGUCCAGGCAGAGGAUGAGGCUGAUUAUUAUUGUGCUGGAGCUUUUGGCAGUGGUAGCAUCUGGCUGUAA
Molecule: non-coding RNA, 396 nt
Organism: Mauremys reevesii (Reeves's turtle)
Lineage: Eukaryota; Metazoa; Chordata; Testudines; Geoemydidae
Source: the annotation of a RefSeq genome assembly